RNAcentral lists this transfer RNA (85 nucleotides) under Felis catus (domestic cat). It matches the Rfam family "tRNA". Rfam says of the family: Transfer RNA (tRNA) molecules are approximately 80 nucleotides in length. Their secondary structure includes four short double-helical elements and three loops (D, anti-codon, and T loops). Lineage: Eukaryota; Metazoa; Chordata; Mammalia; Carnivora; Felidae. The record is from Rfam by way of RNAcentral.
GCCUGGGUGGCUCAGUCAGUUGAGCGCCUGACUUCAGCUCAGGUCAUGAUCUCACGGUUUGUGGGUUCGAGACCCGCAUCAGGCU